GGAAGGGAGAAAUCUUUAGUCACUAGAUUCCACCUCCCAUCAUUCAAACGUUCACCACCUGUUAUUUCCUUUGCAUUUCCAGGUGGCUUACAUGUGGAUAUAUAAGGAACACAGUGCCUCAUGCCUCGGGAUCAGUGGGGAAGUCCCAAAGCAGGUGGGAGAGGUGGAAAAUGGGAGUAAAUAAAGGCGCUGUCAGGUUUCACCCGUGGUUGACUGGAGUUUGUACUGAGUUGACCUUGGCAGCAAUGGUGAGGGUUGAACAAACAUCACCUCAUGGCAGGUGACAUUGAGAGGGGUGAAGUGGUGCAUCCGAGAUGUCCCCUACAGUCUAGCCCCUGCACUGCCUAGGUUUGCCCUCCCAUAGGGUCAUAGAAGGCCUUCCUAUUGUGACAACACAAUGCUCUCAUUUAUUUUCUAAGAAGAGAAGGUCAAGUUCAAUCAGUCACAGAGUUCCCUUUCAAGAUCACAGCCAACUGAAAUCUCUGAAAAGAGUUUGGGCAAGAGCGUGAAGCAAGCCCAGUGCCCCAGCUGGAGCUAGUCCCAUCUCCUCCUCCGCCACCCUUGCUUGACUUCCUCUGUGCUCAGUCCACGUUUUGGGUGGACUUUGGGUGGACUCUUUGUCCAUAAAAUGGGUCUCUUCAUCCGGGGCAAUGUUGUGUGGACACCACAGGGAUGAAUCAAGCAUCUGCAAGUCUGUGGAUGGUGUGGCUGGCAGAGGCGCGUGGUUAGCAAAGGCAAAGCCUCUCCCAGUUAGGUAUUGAUCCUGGUGAGGAAGUCUGGCUCAGAAAAGGGUCUGGAGAAUCAACUUGCUGCCAAGGGGUUGGCUGGUCUUUACAAGGAUGGCGCCGCACCGGGGCCUCACUGUCAGUCUGUGUAGCUAGCAGGCUGGGUGUGCAGCAAAGCCAACCGCUAGAUCUCCUGUCGAGGAAUGGGGUCCAUGCUGCUGGGCCCUUGCUUAAUGGCAAACCCUGCCAUCAUUGUCACUGUGUAAGGCCGCACAGUGUCAGCCCUAGGGCAGCCAAGGAGCGAGACUGGCUGGCGUCCACAGCAUGAACCAUCCAGUCUACAUGGUUCUUGAUGUCUCCUCUGUGGUGGACAGUCCCUAGACAGCACUGGCAGAUUCAAAGACCACCACAUUUUGUGUUCACUUCUCUGGGUCAGCCCACAUGACUCUUCCUAGAGCUCCUUGUCCUCAGUCAUUUAAUCUUGUUUUUCAUGCCUUUGGCCAUCAUUUAAGACCGGUGUCCCCUGCUCAGAUAUCUACAUGCAUGUAUUUUUAAAAUUUUUAUUUAUUUAUUUUGACAGGCAGAGUUAGUGAGAGAGAGACAGAAAGAAAGGUCUUCCUUCCGUUGGUUCACUCUCCAAUGGCCGCAACAGCCGAAGCUGCGCCGAUCUGAAGCCAGGAGCCAGGAGCCACCUGGUCUCCCAAAUGGGUGCAGAGGCUCAAGGACGUGGGCCAUCUUCUACUGCCUUUCCAGGCCACAGCAGAGAGCUGCAUUGGAAGAGGAGCAACUGGGACAGAAUCCGGCACCCCGACCGGGCCUAGAACCCGGAAUGCCGGCGCCGCAGGUGGAGGAUUAGCCUAGUGAGCCACGGAACCAGCCUAUAUGCAUGUUGUCCAGUUGUCAAAUCUGUCACUGUCUAGUACACGCUUCGCAGCCUGUGGUCCCCACUCUUCAAGGUGCUCACGGUCCUCCUCGGGAGGCAGUGGUGGGUUUAAGCUGCCACGGCUUAUCCAAAAGGGAGCCAUCCUCUUCGGUGAUUCUAGGACGUUCUUUUCUCGCCAGCUCUUUACGUGUAUUCUGCUUUUUCUGUGCAUUGAAUCAGAUGACGACGAUGCGAACUUUUGGGACCCUCCGGUGUACCACAUGAUGCUCAGUUGCUUGAGACAGUUUGGAGAAUGCGCUUGGAGACUGAGUGGUGGAAGAGCCAGUCUCCACACAUCCAGUCUUGCAGAAUGUACUGACCGAGGCAUGUGUCAGGAGAAAGGGACCGUGGGCCUUGCAUCUUUAGAUCCCAGAGAACUGGGAGCUGUCAGAUCCUUACACAGAAGCAGCAACACAUGAACUGUGCACACAGGAUUUCCCUGUAGGAGAAGGAAAGGAGCCUGCUACCUUCCGCAUCAGUGUCUUAGACUGACAAACAAGACCGGGAGCAGGCCCCCCAACUAAAAUGCAGUUUCGCCUUCGCCCUUUGGGGAACACACGUAAUGAGUUGG
Molecule: non-coding RNA, 2218 nt
Organism: Oryctolagus cuniculus (rabbit)
Lineage: Eukaryota; Metazoa; Chordata; Mammalia; Lagomorpha; Leporidae
Source: RefSeq, a predicted model, not a curated record